Molecule: long non-coding RNA, 576 nt
Filed under: Sinocyclocheilus anshuiensis
Lineage: Eukaryota; Metazoa; Chordata; Actinopteri; Cypriniformes; Cyprinidae
Description: lncRNA (ENSSANG00000040426.1)
Source: RNAcentral
GGGUGAUCCUGGUGUGGGCAUCCCGGGGCCGCCUGGACCUCCUGGACCUGCAGGAACAUACAAGUAUCCGGUAUGUACCAUUACAUGUUAUUAUGUGCAUAUUGAUAUAAUUAUGCAUGUCAUAACAGCAGAUGGCCUGACUGUAGCAGGACGGCAUCGACGGCUCCGGAUCGAGCUAUGUGGAUCUGGACAGUGACGCAGAGCUGAUACGGGUGAGUUAUUACAGUCACAGGAGCUGGAGUACCUGCGGAAUGAACUCUGAGACACGAAAUAAUGAUUUAACACUGAACAAAAUGAGACAUGAGGUAGUCAUUAUAUACAUGUGUAAGAUGUGUGCUUAUGAGUUGUCAGACAGAAUUUGGUGCUCAGGUUAAUUUUCAUUUUGUGUUGGACUCUCAUCAGGGUCCUCCAGGGCCACCGGGGCCACCGGGACCUCCGGGCCCUUCUGUCGGAGCUCAUCCGGGGCCCAUUGGGCCUCCAGGGGUUCCUGGAAGAGACGGGGAGACGGGCAAACCUGGAGUCCCGGGUGAAAAUGGACGAGACGGUCAACCAGGAAAAGAUGGAGAAGAAGGGCAG